Molecule: ribosomal RNA, 465 nt
Filed under: uncultured bacterium
Lineage: Bacteria
Description: partial 16S ribosomal RNA
Rfam family: Bacterial small subunit ribosomal RNA
Source: RNAcentral
CCUACGGGAGGCAGCAGUGGGGAAUAUUGCGCAAUGGGCGAAAGCCUGACGCAGCGACGCCGCGUGAGGGAUGAAGGUCUUCGGAUCGUAAACCUCUGUCAGCAGGGAAGAACGGUCACUGUGCUAAUCAGCAGUGAAUUGACGGUACCUGCAAAGGAAGCUCCGGCUAACUACGUGCCAGCAGCCGCGGUAAUACGUAGGGAGCGAGCGUUAUCCGGAAUUAUUGGGCGGAAAGGGUGCGUAGAUGGUUGAUAUAAGUCUUUUGUAAAAAUGCUAGGCUCAACCUAGUAGGGCAAAAGAUACUGAUGAACUAGAGUACGGCAGAGGCAAGUAGAACUACAUGUGUAGCGGUAAAAUGCGUAAAUAUAUGUAAGAACACCGGUGGCGAAGGCGGCUUGCUGGGCCUGUACUGACAUUGAGGCACGAAAGCGUGGGGAGCAAACAGGAUUAGAUACCCGGGUAGUC